Molecule: non-coding RNA, 73 nt
Organism: Chelonia mydas (Green sea turtle)
Lineage: Eukaryota; Metazoa; Chordata; Testudines; Cheloniidae
Source: Rfam
GUUUCUGUAGUGUAGUGGUUAUCACCUUUGCCUAACACGCAAAAGAUCCCUGGUUCAAAACCAAGCAGGAACA